Molecule: ribosomal RNA, 712 nt
Filed under: uncultured Clostridium sp.
Lineage: Bacteria; Bacillati; Bacillota; Clostridia; Eubacteriales; Clostridiaceae
Description: bacterial SSU rRNA
Rfam family: Bacterial small subunit ribosomal RNA
Source: RNAcentral
AAACGCUGGCGGCGUGCAUAACACAUGCAAGUCGAACGAUGAACCUUAUUAGAUUUCUUCGGAAUGAAAAUAAGUGGAUUAGUGGCGAACGGGUGAGUAACACGUGAGUAACCUGCCUUACACAAGGGGAUAGCCUUUGGAAACGAAGAAUAAUACCCUAUGACGUCAAUUUAUCGCAUGAUAGAAUGACCAAAGAUUUAUCGGUGUAAGAUGGACUUGCGUCUGAUUAGCUAGUUGGUGAGAUAAAAGCCCACCAAGGCGACGAUCAGUAGCCGGCUUGAGAGAGUGUACGGCCACAUUGGGACUGAGACACGGCCCAAACUCCUACGGGAGGCAGCAGUGGGGAAUUUUGCACAAUGGGGGAAACCCUGAUGCAGCGACGCCGCGUGAUUUAGAAGGCCUUCGGGUUGUAAAAAUCUUUUUUAUGGGAUGAAAAUGACAGUACCAUAAGAAUAAGGUCCGGCUAAAUACGUGCCAGCAGCCGCGGUAAUACGUAUGGACCGAGCGUUGUCCGGAAUCAUUGGGCGUAAAGGGUACGUAGGCGGCCUAGUAAGUUAGAAGUGAAAUAAUAUAGCUCAACUAUAUAAAGCUUUUAAAACUGUUAGGCUUGAGAGAUGAAAGGGAAAGUGGAAUUCCUAGUGUAGCGGUGAAAUGCGCAGAUAUUAGGAAGAAUACCGGUGGCGAAGGCGACUUUCUGGUCAUCAUCUGAAGC